RNAcentral lists this ribosomal RNA (378 nucleotides) under Triticum aestivum (bread wheat). RNAcentral describes it as "partial small subunit ribosomal RNA". The record is from RNAcentral. Lineage: Eukaryota; Viridiplantae; Streptophyta; Magnoliopsida; Poales; Poaceae.
AUGUGGGCUGAUAUUUGCUUGCCCAAGGAUCGGGGUGGCCUCGGCAUCACGGCCUCACGCCGCAUGAACGUCGCCCUCAUGUUGCAUUGGGUCUGGCGGAUCAUGCGGGGCGAUGGGGGUCUGUGGCUUCAGUUGGUGGAGGAAAAAUAUUUGCAGGGAGAGCCUGUUCUCGCUCAGCCAGGUCUCAAUUCUGAAGAUCUAUCCAGGCGAGUAAGGAUGAGAUCCGGCUGGGUGCUACCUUCUCAGUUGGCAAUGGGAAUAGCACCCAUUUCUGGAUUAACCCCUCGCUGGAUGGGGAGCCGCUUCGUGUUUGGUUUCCUAGGUUGUUUGCUAUAUGCGAGGACCCGCAUCCGUGGUCUCCGCGGCCAGUUUGGAUGA